This 2074-nucleotide ribosomal RNA is filed under the name Ceriantheopsis americana. Its description in RNAcentral is "partial 16S ribosomal RNA". The stretch from base 963 to 2074 matches the Rfam family "Bacterial large subunit ribosomal RNA". The record is from RNAcentral. Lineage: Eukaryota; Metazoa; Cnidaria; Anthozoa; Spirularia; Cerianthidae.
GAUUGGGACAGUGUACUAGGGGUACCCUAGUAUAUUACGAUGAAAAAGUUUAAGAAAUGAAUCUUUAAUAAGAAAUUAAACUCCGUUCAUCCGUAUGCUCCAUUAGAUAAAAAAGAAGAGAAUACGGAGAAAUAUGAUUGGUGGUACGAGCAGACGUACGAUGGUAAUACCAGAUUCACAACCACGACCAAAUUUAUUGAGAAGCCUAUAGCUGGCACAUCCUGAGGAUCGAUAGCUAGGGAUGAUACUAUUUCAGAAUUAGGUCAAACAGCUUUUAAAGAGGUAUGCAUUUAUAAAUGUGUUUCUUGUUGCUUAGAAAUACUGUUUCAUUUUAUUAUAAUUAAAUUCCUAUUAGUUUAUUGGGGCUUAAUUUUUUGUUUAAUUAAAACAACACAAAUCGCCUAUAUUCAUAAAGAUUUGUUUAUUAAUGACCCUUAUAAUAUAAAGUGGGUUUUUAUAUUCUUAGCCUAUUGUCUUAUUUUACUUACUAAUUUUCCUAUCAGGUUUCUUCAUUUGAUAAUAUCUUUUUUUAUUUUAUUAGCAUUUCAACCAAAGAAAGUAUUUUAUUAUUACAUUAUUUUCUUUGGUUUAGGCCUAAUAAAUUUUGAUUUUCUUUUUUAAACAUUUUUUUUAAUUUGCAAUAAUUUUUAUUAAGUUAAGUUAUGGCUUUUCCUUUUUGACCCAUGUUGUUUAAUCUUGGAAAAGCCUUAAUCAGAAGUUAAAGUCAUUAAUAGAUGUGACUUAAAAGAGAUAUAAAGCAGACAAUAAGGAAUUAGGCUUGGAAACAGCCUCCUUAAUUAAUAACGUAAAAGUUUACUUGAAAAAUAAACUCUCUCUAGAAUUUUAGUGUCUUAAUAAAACUAAAACUCUGACUAAAGCAACGGGGUAGCAGAACAUACUGUAAGCUGUGGUCAGGAAGACAAUGCGAACAUGAGUAAAACAGCUGAACUUAUUCUUAUGGUCUUCAGGUAAUCCAGUCCCUAAAAUCAUAUGAUUGAUGGGGGAGACAUAAACGCAUAUAUGCCAGGAAAACUUUUUUUUUCAAUGAAAUUGAAUUCGAAGAACUGUACCAACUAAUUGAAAUGAGAAAAAGUAAGGGAUAAUUUUUCUUUAGGAACUCGGCAAACAAAUUUAAAACAGAAUUAAAAAGUAUCGGCUGUUUACCAAAAACAUAGCCCCUUGCUAAAGGAACUCUAAAGUAUAGGAGGUGAAGCCUGCCCUAUGGUUGUAUCUGAAAGAAUAACGAAGUAGUUAUUUAUAAAGACAAUUUAAUGGCCGCGGUAUUCCUGACUGUGAAAAUGUAGCGCAAUCAAUCGUCAAUUAAUUGUUGACAAGUAUGAAUGGCGUCACGAGUGCUUGACUGUCUUAAGAAAAACCCCAAUGAAAUUGAAUUCGUAGUUAAGAUGCUACGUAAAUUUGUAAGACGAAAAGACCCUAUUAAGCUUUACUGGAAGCUUAUAUUGUCUUAGUAAAAACUGUAAUAGAUGGGAGAUGUUGUUAAUCAAUUUAAUUUUAUUAUUCUGUAAGUUUAUACCAUACCAAUAAUAUAUAUGAAAGACUAUUUUGCCAUCAAAGAAAGAAUUAGUAUGUUAGACAGUUUGGUUGGGGCGACUCCCUUAAAAAUGAUAACUGAGGGGCACUAAGGUAAUAAAGAAAGAGCUUGACUGUUAGAGGGCCCUCAAACAGACACUAAAGUGGGUAAAUUGAUCCGUUAAUACAAGUGGAAUUGUUAACGAUAAACGAAUAAAAGUUACUAUAGGGAUAACAGCGUAAUAUUGUUAGAGAGUUCACAUUAACAACAAUGUUUGCGACCUCGAUGUUGAAUUGCGGCAUCCUAAGGGUGCAGCAGCUCUUUAAGGUUAGUCUGUUCGACUAUUAAAGCCGUACAUGAUUUGAGUUCAGAACGUGGUAACACAGUUCGGUUUCUAUCUACAACAAACAAAUUCUAAUUAUUUUUUAGUACGAAAGGAACUAAAAUAAAAAUCCUAUGAUUUAUGUCAGAUUGAUGAAAAUAACUGACGGCUUAUCAAGUGUGGAUUAGAUUUGUACAUGUUUUCAAUUGUUUAUAGGACUC